GAUUUUGAAAACCACAACUUUUGACAAAAAAAAAAAAAAAAAAAAUCGAUCCAUGAGUUAUUUCCAAUGGGUAUUUGAUGGUGCAUAGAAGCUUGGACAUGUAUGGUUUUGCAUGACUGCUCAGAUCCCCUUCGACCCAUGUACAUAAUGGCCAUCCAGGAUGGCUACCCUCAUUUGAUCCAGGUCUAAGGUUCUUUCGGAUAGGGAUGAGCUCGGUACCGUCCGGUACCGGAACCGAAAGUACCGGUACCGAAAAUCCUCAAAAGUGGGUACCGGUACCGAAUAUACCCGGUACGGUACGGUUCGGUACCGGUACGGUACGGUUCGGAUACCGGUACGGUACCGGUAUUUAAAGGUAAAAACCGGUAAAUACCGGUACCGAACCGGUACCGUACUGGACCGGUACCGAACCGGUACCGAAAAUGUCAAAAUUCGGUACCGAAUCGGUACCGAAAAGGUACCCGGUUUGGUAAAUUCGGUACCGGUACCGGUUCGGUUCCGGUACCGGGUCCAUUUUGCUCAUCCCUACUUUCGGACAUGCAUGACUGGUGCCAAACAACCACUUUAGUCAGUUGGUUGGAUCUUGUUGAUCCAAGUCUACAUCAUCCUACCCUUGAUCUUGGGAAUUAGUUUUAAGUGAAAGGAAUCGGAUGUUGAAUCAGGAACUGAGAAUCGUGGUAUCAAACUAUGAGGAUAUUUAGCUCUGAUACCAAAUGUCGUAGAUCAGAGUAGGAAAGGACUAGGAUAUAUAAUCUUCAAAUAAAAACGGGUAACAGUAGAAUGGGAUACAAAAUUCAACACGCAUUGCACAUCCAUUUGAGGAUAUUUAGCUCUGAUACCAAAUGUCUUAAUCAUCUCAAUAGGGUCUGUCUUUCUUGUCGUAAACAUUUUAUUUAUUGAAUUUGCUUC
RNAcentral lists this long non-coding RNA (909 nucleotides) under Helianthus annuus (common sunflower). RNAcentral describes it as "hypothetical non coding rna". Lineage: Eukaryota; Viridiplantae; Streptophyta; Magnoliopsida; Asterales; Asteraceae. The record is from RNAcentral.